AUGGGCUUCCCCGCCACCUUCCGGACAAAGUGUCAAAUACAAGUUCAAGUUCAGGGCCAGGCCCGAGGGGCGCUGAGCCUUACCCGGCCGCCUUUGUUCUCUGGGAUAAUCGCUCCCACGUCCCCUCCCGGGCGGGGCCCAGAAAAGACCCCCGCCCCGCCCCGCCGCGCCCCGCAGGAGCCUCCUCCUCCCGCCGGCGCGGCGCCUGUCCCCUGGUCCCGGCGUCGCCGCUCGGUACCACCGAAGGAUCUAGGGGCUCGGGCCGGCGUGGAGGGAGGGGGGCUGCGGAGGGGAGUGGAGGCGCGAUACGAGCCCGUGGGAGCCUCCCCAACCCCGCAGUCCCAGCGGCAAACUGUGCUUGGUCGGACGGAUGCCCGCGCGGAGCCGCCAGUCUCUGAGAGGGCGCUGGACCCCAAGACUCUGCAGGACUGGCCUCAGUGCAGAGGCUCUGGAUUCUCUGGCUCUGAGGCGAGAUGGGAGCUGUCCUCCCAGUGGUGCUGAAACUCGGGCUGCCUCCGUUGGGGUCACCGACAGAAGCUCACUUGUUCAGGCACAUCCUGAGUCAGCCUUUCCGCCUCUGAGACGGCCUCCUCCCAUCUCAGGUGAGAGAUUCAGCCUGGAAGGGAAGUAGUCCACGCCAUGAUCAUUCCGCAAAACCUUAAUAGCCACUUAACAGGAUUCACUACUUUUCAUCUUGCUGCCUCAAUCCAUUCUCCACUCAGUACCCAGAGUGGUCUUUUCAAGAGGCAAAUCUGAUCCUAUGUAAAGUACUCAUAUGGUUUUCCAUAUCAUUCAGAUUAAAACUUAAAAGUUCUUGCUAGAGCUAAGAGAUCCCUCCCCCUCAAUGAUCUAGCCCCUGUCUACUUCUUCCACCUUAAUUGCCUAUCAGGAUGGCAGGGAUGGGUUAGAACUGGCUUAAUUCUGAUAUGUUUUGAAGAUAGAACUGCUUAUAUUUGCUGAGACAUUAGAGGGGUGUGCAGGAGAGAAAUAGUGGAGUCAAGGAUGACCCUGGGGGUUUGAGGUUGAGUACCUGGAAGGAUGGAGUUUCUAUUUCCUGAACUGGGAAAGGCUGAAGGAGGAGUAGAGUUUUGGGGAUGGGGAUCUGAAGCUGUUUCUGGACAUGUUAAGUUUGAGAGAUCUACUAGAUAGCCAAAGGGGAUAGCCUAGUAGGCAACUGGACAUAUAAACUUGGCAUUCAGAGGAGAGGUUCUGGCUGGAGAUAUUAAUGUGGGAGAGGUAAGCUUAUGGUCUUAUCUAAAACCAUGCAGCAAGAUGAGAUCACUAGAGAGUAAAAGUACAAAGAAGAAAAGUGUUCCAGGGGCAGAACACUGGAGUACUUUCAUUUUAGAGGAAGAAAUUAAAGAAAAUCAGUAAAGGAGACUGGGAGGGAGGGUCUUUGAAGAAGGAGAGAACAAAAAAAGUGAUGUCCUUGAGGCUGGGGGUUGGGGGCAGUGGAGGUAUCUUAAGAACAAGGGAGAGAUCAAAAGUAUCCAAUAUGCUGACAGGCCAAGAAAGAUGAGGAUUGAUAAUUGACCUUUCGAUAUGGCCUCACAGAGGUCCUUUCUGUUAUUUACAUAUA
This is a long non-coding RNA of Papio anubis (olive baboon), 1579 nucleotides long. The record is from Ensembl. Lineage: Eukaryota; Metazoa; Chordata; Mammalia; Primates; Cercopithecidae.